Molecule: ribosomal RNA, 492 nt
Filed under: uncultured bacterium
Lineage: Bacteria
Description: partial 16S ribosomal RNA
Rfam family: Bacterial small subunit ribosomal RNA
Source: RNAcentral
AUUGAACGCUGGCGGCAUGCUUUACACAUGCAAGUCGAACGGUAACAGGCCUUCGGGUGCUGACGAGUGGCGAACGGGGGAGUAAUGCAUCGGAACGUGCCCAGAGGUGGGGGAUAACGCAGCGAAAGCUGUGCUAAUACCGCAUGUGAUCUGAGGAUGAAAGCGGGGGACCAGGCAGCAAUGUUUGGCCUCGCGCCUUUGGAGCGGCCGAUGUCAGAUUAGGUAGUUGGUGGGGUAAAGGCCCACCAAGCCGACGAUCUGUAGCUGGUCUGAGAGGACGACCAGCCACACUGGGACUGAGACACGGCCCAGACUCCUACGGGAGGCAGCAGUGGGGAAUUUUGGACAAUGGGCGCAAGCCUGAUCCAGCAAUGCCGCGUGCGGGAAGAAGGCCUUCGGGUUGUAAACCGCUUUUGUACGGAACGAAAAGGCUCUGGCUAAUACCUGGGGCUGAUGACGGUACCGUAAGAAUAAGCACCGGCUAACUACGUG